UUUUUAACACACACACACAUCGGCACAUGCUCUAGGGUGCUCUUCGGAGUUGGAGACAUGGGAUGUGUGGAGGCCUAAC
This 79-nucleotide small RNA is filed under the name uncultured Oceanisphaera sp. RNAcentral's name for it is "t44 RNA". It matches the Rfam family "t44 RNA". From Rfam's summary of the family: This family consists of a number of bacterial RNA genes of between 135 and 170 bases in length. The t44 gene is found between the map and rpsB genes in all species in the full alignment apart from Shigella flexneri. The record is from RNAcentral. Lineage: Bacteria; Pseudomonadati; Pseudomonadota; Gammaproteobacteria; Aeromonadales; Aeromonadaceae.